Molecule: long non-coding RNA, 456 nt
Organism: Ixodes scapularis (black-legged tick)
Lineage: Eukaryota; Metazoa; Arthropoda; Arachnida; Ixodida; Ixodidae
Exons: 3
Source: RefSeq, a predicted model, not a curated record
GAAGAAGUCAAGGCGUACAGCGAUUUCUCGAUUAAUUGGUGGCAUGGAUUGAUUGUGGUUUUACGUGGUGUGUUUUGAUUGCUUUCUUGCCAGGCUGAAAGCACUUCAACUGAUUAUGGUUGGUUCGUGCGUCGCGUUUGGGUGCACGAAUCGUGUGAAGACGCCAGGGAUAACAUUUCACUCAUUUCCCAAAGAAAGUAGUGCUCGUGCUGCCUGGGAACGUGCUGUGCGGCGAGAUUGCUGGAAACCAAAGGACAACGACCGUCUUUGCUCAGUUCACUUCGAACCUCAUUGUUUCGACAAAACUUGGCAAACAGUGAGACUGCGACCUGGCAGCCUACCUACUAACUUCCCAGCAUUCCCAGCACAUCUGCAGAAGCCUCAAAAGCGAAAACGAGAACCUCCCAAGUGUCGGGAGAUGGCACCCGUGGCACCACCUGAUAUUGCCGCUGAACC